GCCUAGUCAAGAUGAAGCCAGAGGAAACUCUGGUGGAUGUCUGAAGUUAUUCUGACGUGCAAAUCGAUAAUCUGAUCUGGGUAUAGGGGCGAAAGACUAAUCGAACCAUCUAGUAGCUGGUUCCUUCCGAAGUUUCCCUCAGGAUAGCAAGCGUACAUCUUUAGUUUCAUCCCGUAAAGCGAAUGAUUAGAGGUAUUGGGGCGUAUAUAGCCUCAACCUAUUCUCAAACUUUUAAUGGGUGUGAGUGUUCUUUCUCAAUUGAAGAACGCUGCUAAAUAAGUAUGCUUAGUGGGCCAUUUUUGGUAAGCAGAACUGGCGCUGUGGGUUGAACCAAUUGUUGAGUUAAAGUGCCCAAAGCUGUAAUGCGCAUGAGAUCUAUAAAGGGUGUUAGUUGCUGAAGACAGCAGGACGGAGGCCAUGGAA
This 423-nucleotide ribosomal RNA is filed under the name Stratiolaelaps miles. Its description in RNAcentral is "partial 28S ribosomal RNA". It matches the Rfam family "Eukaryotic large subunit ribosomal RNA", at positions 835 to 1259 of the family's 3401-position model. The record is from RNAcentral. Lineage: Eukaryota; Metazoa; Arthropoda; Arachnida; Mesostigmata; Laelapidae.